This 303-nucleotide long non-coding RNA is filed under the name Anser brachyrhynchus (Pink-footed goose). Its description in RNAcentral is "lncRNA (ENSABRG00000017144.1)". Lineage: Eukaryota; Metazoa; Chordata; Aves; Anseriformes; Anatidae. The record is from RNAcentral.
AUGCUUGCUAACAGGAUUGCUCCACCACAUGCGCUAACUCCACUCCAACAACGUGAGCCUUGUGAGAGAAGUAAAUACUUCUCCCAACACCCCGCACUGCAGGAGGGGCCCUCAUGGAGCGGAGCAAUGAAGGUUGGUGUUGGAGAGGGAAAUCCCCUUGCUGGGCAGGGAAACCCUCUGUGGAAAUGGAAACGGAGCAUUUUCGCUUGGAAAAUCACCAAGGAGCGAGGGAAGCUUGCACGGGCAAUACGUUUCCAGGAAGUUUGCUGCCAGCAGGGCGGUGCAUCCCCGGGCUGCAAGUGA